UGGGGAAUAUUGCACAAUGGGGGAAACCCUGAUGCAGCGACGCCGCGUGAGCGAAGAAGUAUUUCGGUAUGUAAAGCUCUAUCAGCAGGAAAGAAAAUGACGGUACCUGACUAAGAAGCUCCGGCUAAAUACGUGCCAGCAGCCGCGGUAAUACGUAUGGAGCAAGCGUUAUCCGGAUUUACUGGGUGUAAAGGGAGCGUAGGCGGCUUGGCAAGUCUGAUGUGAAAGGUUGGGGCUCAACCCCAGGACUGCAUUGGAAACUGUUAAGCUGGAGUGUCGGAGAGGCAAGCGGAAUUCCUAGUGUAGCGGUGAAAUGCGUAGAUAUUAGGAGGAACACCAGUGGCGAAGGCGGCUUGCUGGACGAUAACUGACGCUGAGGCUCGAAAGCGUGGGGAGCAAACAGG
Molecule: ribosomal RNA, 404 nt
Filed under: uncultured bacterium
Lineage: Bacteria
Description: bacterial SSU rRNA
Rfam family: Bacterial small subunit ribosomal RNA
Source: RNAcentral